GGGCGUUAAGUUGCAGGGUAUAGACCCGAAACCCGGUGAUCUAGCCAUGGGCAGGUUGAAGGUUGGGUAACACUAACUGGAGGACCGAACCGACUAAUGUUGAAAAAUUAGCGGAUGACCUGUGGCUGGGGGUGAAAGGCCAAUCAAACCGGGAGAUAGCUGGUUCUCCCCGAAAGCUAUUUAGGUAGCGCCUCGUGAAUUCAUCUCCGGGGGUAGAGCACUGUUUCGGCUAGGGGGCCAUCCCGGCUUACCAACCCGAUGCAAACUGCGAAUACCGGAGAAUGUUAUCACGGGAGACACACGGCGGGUGCUAACGUCCGUCGUGAAGAGGGAAACAACCCAGACCGCCAGCUAAGGUCCCAAAGUCAUGGUUAAGUGGGAAACGAUGUGGGAAGGCCCAGACAGCCAGGAUGUUGGCUUAGAAGCAGCCAUCAUUUAAAGAAAGCGUAAUAGCUCACUGGUCGAGUCGGCCUGCGCGGAAGAUGUAACGGGGCUAAACCAUGCACCGAAGCUGCGGCAGCGACGCUGAUGCGUUGUUGGGUAGGGGAGCGUUCUGUAAGCCUGUGAAGGUGGCCUGUGAGGGUUGCUGGAGGUAUCAGAAGUGCGAAUGCUGACAUAAGUAACGAUAAAGCGGGUGAAAAGCCCGCUCGCCGGAAGACCAAGGGUUCCUGUCCAACGUUAAUCGGGGCAGGGUGAGUCGACCCCUAAGGCGAGGCCGAAAGGCGUAGUCGAUGGGAAACGGGUUAAUAUUCCCGUACUUGGUGUUACUGCGAAGGGGGGACGGAGAAGGCUAUGUUGGCCGGGCGACGGUUGUCCCGGUUUAAGCGUGUAGGUGUGUGUUCCAGGUAAAUCCGGUUCACUUUAACACUGAGGCGUGACGACGAGGCACUACGGUGCUGAAGCAACAAAUGCCCUGCUUCCAGGAAAAGCCUCUAAGCAUCAGGUAACAUCAAAUCGUACCCCAAACCGACACAGGUGGUCAGGUAGAGAAUACCAAGGCGCUUGAGAGAACUCGGGUGAAGGAACUAGGCAAAAUGGUGCCGUAACUUCGGGAGAAGGCACGCUGACACGUAGGUGAAGUGAUUUACUCACGGAGCUGAAGUCAGUCGAAGAUACCAGCUGGCUGCAACUGUUUAUUAAAAACACAGCACUGUGCAAACACGAAAGUGGACGUAUACGGUGUGACGCCUGCCCGGUGCCGGAAGGUUAAUUGAUGGGG
RNAcentral lists this ribosomal RNA (1219 nucleotides) under Salmonella enterica. RNAcentral's name for it is "bacterial LSU rRNA". It matches the Rfam family "Bacterial large subunit ribosomal RNA", at positions 690 to 1889 of the family's 2925-position model. The record is from RNAcentral. Lineage: Bacteria; Pseudomonadati; Pseudomonadota; Gammaproteobacteria; Enterobacterales; Enterobacteriaceae.